GAUGAACGCUAGCUACAGGCUUAACACAUGCAAGUCGAGGGGAAACGACAUCGAAAGCUUGCUUUUGAUGGGCGUCGACCGGCGCACGGGUGAGUAACGCGUAUCCAACCUGCCCAUCACUUGGGCAUAACCUUGCGAAAGUAAGACUAAUACCCAAUGAUAUCCCACGAAGGCAUCGGAAUGGGAUGAAGGAUUUAUCUGUGAUGGAUGGGGAUGCGUCUGAUUAGCUUGUUGGCGGGGUAACGGCCCACCAAGGCAACGAUCAGUAGGGGUUCUGAGAGGAAGGGCCCCCACAUUGGAACUGAGACACGGUCCAAACUCAUACGGGAGGCAGUAGUGAGGAAGAUUGGUGAAUGGGAGAGAGCCUGAACCAGCCAAGUAGCGUGCAGGAAGACGGCCCUCUGGGUUGUAAACUGCUUUUAUAAGGGAAUAAAGUGGGUUACGUGUGACUUUUUGCAUGUACCUUAUGAAUAAGGACCGGCUAAUUCCGUG
Molecule: ribosomal RNA, 492 nt
Filed under: uncultured bacterium
Lineage: Bacteria
Description: partial 16S ribosomal RNA
Rfam family: Bacterial small subunit ribosomal RNA
Source: RNAcentral